Molecule: ribosomal RNA, 468 nt
Filed under: uncultured bacterium
Lineage: Bacteria
Description: partial 16S ribosomal RNA
Rfam family: Bacterial small subunit ribosomal RNA
Source: RNAcentral
GACGAACGCUGGCGGCGUGCUUAACACAUGCAAGUCGAACGGAAAGGCCCUGCUUUUGUUGGUUGCUCGAGUGGCGAACGGGGGAGUAAAACGCGUGUAACCCGCCCUUGAAAUUGGGAUAACUUCAGGGAACUGCGGCGAAUAUCGGAUAGGAGAUACUGAUGCAUGGUGGGGGUUGGUAAAUUUCGGCGGUUGUGGAUGGACUCGCGGCUUAUCGGCUUGUUGGUGGGGUAGUGGAUUACCAAGGCUUUGAAGGGUAGCCGGCCUGGGAGGGUGACCGGCCACAUUGGUCCUGAGGUACGGCCCAGUCUCCAACGGGAGGCAGCAGGGGGAAACAUUGCACAAUGGGCGGAAGCCAGAUGCAGCAGCGCCGCGUGCGGGAUGACGUCCUUCGAGUUGUAAACCGCUUUCGCCGGUGACGAGGCCUGAGUGACGGUAAUGGGUAAAGAAGCACCGGCUAACUACGUG